GGGUGAUGGGAAGUACUCUGUGUUCUUCAGGGGAACAAGGGACCAGCUGGAAUUUGAGGAAUCUCAGAUACGGAUCCAUCGUGAAUGGGCCAACGGUAAGUGGACCCCAUCAUUUGGGGACGAAGGAGAAGAAAAGCAAGAUGAGAAGGAACUUGUAUCUACUGAAACGAAACCCAACAACAAAGCUGCAGAAUUUUUUAGCAAAGGGUCAUUAGUCGAAGUCAGCAGUGAUGAAGAAGGUUUUGAGGGUGCUUGGUUUGUUGCAACUAUUGUUAAGCUUUUAGAUAAUGGUAACUACCUGAUAGAGUAUCAGAACUUAAGAAACAAUGAUGAUACAGCAUUUUUGCAAGAAGAAACUGAUCGUUUGCAUAUACGACCUAGUCCACCUGAUGUUGGAUCUUUUGAAAGCUUCAAAGUCCUUGAAGAAGUUGAUGCUCUGCACAAUGAUGGCUGGUGGGUGGGUGUGAUUUCUAAAGUACUUAAAGGCCAGAGAUACAAGGUUUACUUUAAGGCAAGCAACGAGGAGUUGGAGUUUAAGCAUGCUGAUGUAAGGCUGCAUCUGGACUGGACCAAUGGCAAAUGGGUCAGAGCUUCCCAGGCAUUAAAGUUGUGAUCUUCGAGAAAUUGCUAUGUUGGUAGAUCUGCAAUCAGGAUUCGUGGUGUAGCUUCUUAAUGGUUUAACGUAUAAUGUGGUCUGCUCAGGAUUGUAACAUAUAUUAGAAAGAGUUAUUAGUUGGAUUAGAAAGAUUGUGGCCUAUCAAGAAUUUGAAAAUGAACCAACCCUGUACUCCUUUAGAGAAGCCUUAAAGGUGUGUCAAUAUUGUUGUGCUAAGUUAAAUUGUGUGUAGACUGCUCUAGUGGAAUCCAAGCCGUUGUUGUCAACUUCAAGAUUCAUGCACUUGUAUAAAUUUAUACUUCUUUUGUUCUUAAUUUUCGUAAUGUUAUGGGGCGG
This 952-nucleotide unclassified non-coding RNA is filed under the name Hevea brasiliensis (rubber tree). Lineage: Eukaryota; Viridiplantae; Streptophyta; Magnoliopsida; Malpighiales; Euphorbiaceae. The record is from RNAcentral.